ACGGCGCCACUUGCUAUUGUCAUUUGAUAAAGUUUCAAAAAAAUAUUAGAAGAGUUGUGAUUGUGAUACAGCGCAGCUAAGCAUAGAAAACAUGUUUUUAAAAAUGAUACUAAAGUUAGCCAAGAGUUAGUAUAUUUCCAACUUGAAGCUUUUAUGGGAUGGGUCACUAGCCGUAAAUAAACAGAGUGACGAUAACCCUUUAAAAUUUAGGUGUAACCUGUAUUACGCUAUUACUUUUUGCUGCUGUUUGUGUCAAGUCUCUAAGCAGAUAUUUUUUUUUACGACAAAUUUCAUGAUACUGAAGUUAGCAGACGUCUAAUAAUUUUUGGAUUUUUUUUUAGACGAUAAACCAGAAGAAAAAAAAUAUUUGAAAAAAUUGCACCUGUAGUUUUUUAAAUUUUCUACAUGCGCAUAUUUUUAGUUUUUUUUUUUCUUUAAAUUUAAUUGUUCAAAAAAAAAUCAAAAAAUUUUGAACUGUCUGCUAACUUCAGGAUCAUCAAAUUUCUCAUUAUUUUGUCAACACUUUGGUGCAUUCAUAAGUCAAAAUCAGCCUCAAAGUUCUUACAGAUAUCAUAAAGCCAAGUAACACAUUUGGCUUUGUGACAUCUGUAAGAUCGCAGUUUUUUGACCUAAGGCGCCAAAAUGGUGACAAAAUUAUCAGAAAUUUAUCACUGAAAAAAUAUCUGCUAAAAGACUUGACAGAAGUGACGAAAAAAAGUAAAUUACUAACGAGUCCGAAUGACGUCAAUUGAUGACUUUUUUAAGACCAAAAAAAGAAGACAAACUCCAAGAUCAACAUCUGUAUAUCUUCUUUCUAUAAAAAAAUUUGGCUCUGAGACAAAAUAAAAUUUGUCUUGUCAUCUUAAAGUUGUCUCUGUACUACACGGGUAUUUAUUCAAAAAUCAAAAAAUUGUCAAUUGUCAGCUACAUUUCAAACUCAUAAAUGUUUAACCACGUGGUUUUAAAUUUAAAUAAUUAAAACCCACAUGAUAAAUAGACUGUUUAGUUACAACAAUAAUUAUUCAUCAACUUGCUGAUGAAUUGAGUUUAAAAAUUACAUAAAAAAAUUAAUUGAUUGAAUAACUAAGUUACAUAUUAUAAACCAGGUGUAUGAAUUAUUUAUAUAAACAAUAAUAGAGUUACUUAAUAACAUCAGUCAAUGAAUUACACUAUUGAUCGGGCAUUUGGGUUAAUUAAAUUACAAGUAAUAAAAUUUAAACCAAAAAAAGUCUGUAUUUUCAAAUACAAUGAUAAUUGCUCACUGUAAUAUUUACAAUACCAUUCUUAUUAAUAUGUAGUAUAAAUAAGUCUUAAGUUGCAUUUAAUUAUGUUCUCUCAUGACCCAACAUCCAUAUCUAAAAACUUACAAAUUUCCCAGCAAUAAUUAAAUUUCUUUUUUAACUUUACAUAUCUCAUGAAUUUUACUUAAAAUUUAUUAUUACAUAAUUAAUAUAUUAUUUAAAUCCCGGCCGAUGAAUUAAA
This is a long non-coding RNA of Microplitis mediator, 1482 nucleotides long. RefSeq lists it as uncharacterized. NCBI's taxonomy places the organism in Eukaryota, Metazoa, Arthropoda, Insecta, Hymenoptera, Braconidae. The transcript has 2 exons. The record is from RefSeq and is a predicted model, not a curated record.